UACGAAGGGGGCUAGCGUUGUUCGGAAUUACUGGGCGUAAAGCGCGCGUAGGCGGUGAUCUUUGUCAGAGGUGAAAGCCCGGGGCUCAACUCCGGAAUUGCCUUUGAAACGGGAUCGCUAGAGUCCGAGAGAGGAUGGCGGAAUUCCUAGUGUAGAGGUGAAAUUCGUAGAUAUUAGGAAGAACACCGGUGGCGAAGGCGGCCAUCUGGCUCGGUACUGACGCUCAGGCGCGAAAGCGUGGGGAGCAAAC
Molecule: ribosomal RNA, 250 nt
Filed under: uncultured Alphaproteobacteria bacterium
Lineage: Bacteria; Pseudomonadati; Pseudomonadota; Alphaproteobacteria
Description: partial 16S ribosomal RNA
Rfam family: Bacterial small subunit ribosomal RNA
Source: RNAcentral